GAUCAUGGCUCAGGAUGAACGCUGGCGGCGUGCUUAACACAUGCAAGUCGAACGAAGCACCUUGAUUUGAUUCUUCGGAUGAAGAUCUUGGUGACUGAGUGGCGGACGGGUGAGUAACGCGUGGGUAACCUGCCUCAUACAGGGGGAUAACAGUUAGAAAUGACUGCUAAUACCGCAUAAGACCACAGCACCGCAUGGUGCAGGGGUAAAAACGUACCGUCGGU
RNAcentral lists this ribosomal RNA (224 nucleotides) under uncultured bacterium. RNAcentral's name for it is "partial 16S ribosomal RNA". It matches the Rfam family "Bacterial small subunit ribosomal RNA", at positions 15 to 219 of the family's 1533-position model. The record is from RNAcentral.